This 253-nucleotide ribosomal RNA is filed under the name uncultured bacterium. Its description in RNAcentral is "partial 16S ribosomal RNA". It matches the Rfam family "Bacterial small subunit ribosomal RNA", at positions 524 to 776 of the family's 1533-position model. The record is from RNAcentral.
UACAGAGGUCGCGAGCGUUAAUCGGAUUUACUGGGCGUAAAGCGUGUGUAGGUGGUUGUGCAAGUCGGUUGUGAAAUCCCUGGGCUCAACCUGGGAACUGCUUCCGAGACUGUGCGACUAGAGGUCGGUAGAGGGCGGUGGAAUUUCCGGUGUAGCGGUGAAAUGCGUAGAUAUCGGAAGGAACGCCCGUGGCGAAAGCGAGGUCCUGGACGUCUACUGACGCUGAGACGCGAAAGCUAGGGGAGCAAACGGG